Molecule: ribosomal RNA, 407 nt
Filed under: uncultured bacterium
Lineage: Bacteria
Description: partial 16S ribosomal RNA
Rfam family: Bacterial small subunit ribosomal RNA
Source: RNAcentral
GACGAACGCUGGCGGCGCGAUUAACACAUGCAAGUCGAGCGAAGCGGCGGACGGGUGAGUAACACGUGAGUAACCUGCCUUUUACACAGGGAUAGCCUCGGGAAACCGGGAUUAAAACCUGAUGGGAAAAGAUGGACUCGCGUCCCCUUAGCUAGUUGGGGAGGUAACGUCCCACCAAGGCAACGAUGGGUAGCCGGCCGGCGAGGGUGAACGGGCACAUUGGAAAUGAGAAACUGUCCAAACUCUACGGGAGGCAGCAGUGGGGAAUAUUGCACAAGGGGGGAAACCCUGAUGCAGCGACGCCUCGUGAGCGAAGAAGGCCUUCGGGUUGUAAAGCUCUUUUAUAUGGGAAGCGGUACCAUAAGAAAAAGCCCCGGCUAACUACGUGCCAGCAGCCGCGGUAAUAC